GGCUGGUCCAAGUGCAGUGAUGUUUACUUGAUCAUAAUCAGUUACAUUAUGAUAAUUGAUCAUAAUCAGUUACAGGUUUCUUUGUUUCUUCUUCACUCCCACUGCUUCACUUGACUGGCCUUUA
Molecule: non-coding RNA, 124 nt
Organism: Homo sapiens (human)
Lineage: Eukaryota; Metazoa; Chordata; Mammalia; Primates; Hominidae
Rfam family: Y RNA
About the family: Y RNAs are components of the Ro ribonucleoprotein particle (Ro RNP), in association with Ro60 and La proteins. The Y RNAs and Ro60 and La proteins are well conserved, but the function of the Ro RNP is not known.
Source: Rfam